Molecule: ribosomal RNA, 2832 nt
Filed under: Pseudomonas aeruginosa
Lineage: Bacteria; Pseudomonadati; Pseudomonadota; Gammaproteobacteria; Pseudomonadales; Pseudomonadaceae
Description: bacterial LSU rRNA
Rfam family: Bacterial large subunit ribosomal RNA
Source: RNAcentral
AGCGCAUACGGUGGAUGCCUUGGCAGUCAGAGGCGAUGAAAGACGUGGUAGCCUGCGAAAAGCUUCGAGGAGUCGGCAAACAGACUUUGAUCCGGAGAUCUCUGAAUGGGGGAACCCACCUAGGAUAACCUAGGUAUCUUGUACUGAAUCCAUAGGUGCAAGAGGCGAACCAGGGGAACUGAAACAUCUAAGUACCCUGAGGAAAAGAAAUCAACCGAGAUUCCCUUAGUAGUGGCGAGCGAACGGGGAUUAGCCCUUAAGCUUCAUUGAUUUUAGCGGAACGCUCUGGAAAGUGCGGCCAUAGUGGGUGAUAGCCCCGUACGCGAAAGGAUCUUUGAAGUGAAAUCGAGUAGGACGGAGCACGAGAAACUUUGUCUGAACAUGGGGGGACCAUCCUCCAAGGCUAAAUACUACUGACUGACCGAUAGUGAACCAGUACCGUGAGGGAAAGGCGAAAAGAACCCCGGAGAGGGGAGUGAAAUAGAACCUGAAACCGUAUGCGUACAAGCAGUGGGAGCCUACUUGUUAGGUGACUGCGUACCUUUUGUAUAAUGGGUCAGCGACUUAUAUUCAGUGGCAAGCUUAACCGUAUAGGGUAGGCGUAGCGAAAGCGAGUCUUAAUAGGGCGUUUAGUCGCUGGGUAUAGACCCGAAACCGGGCGAUCUAUCCAUGAGCAGGUUGAAGGUUAGGUAACACUGACUGGAGGACCGAACCCACUCCCGUUGAAAAGGUAGGGGAUGACUUGUGGAUCGGAGUGAAAGGCUAAUCAAGCUCGGAGAUAGCUGGUUCUCCUCGAAAGCUAUUUAGGUAGCGCCUCAUGUAUCACUCUGGGGGGUAGAGCACUGUUUCGGCUAGGGGGUCAUCCCGACUUACCAAACCGAUGCAAACUCCGAAUACCCAGAAGUGCCGAGCAUGGGAGACACACGGCGGGUGCUAACGUCCGUCGUGAAAAGGGAAACAACCCAGACCGCCAGCUAAGGUCCCAAAGUUGUGGUUAAGUGGUAAACGAUGUGGGAAGGCUUAGACAGCUAGGAGGUUGGCUUAGAAGCAGCCACCCUUUAAAGAAAGCGUAAUAGCUCACUAGUCGAGUCGGCCUGCGCGGAAGAUGUAACGGGGCUCAAACCACACACCGAAGCUGCGGGUGUCACGUAAGUGACGCGGUAGAGGAGCGUUCUGUAAGCCUGUGAAGGUGAGUUGAGAAGCUUGCUGGAGGUAUCAGAAGUGCGAAUGCUGACAUGAGUAACGACAAUGGGUGUGAAAAACACCCACGCCGAAAGACCAAGGGUUCCUGCGCAACGUUAAUCGACGCAGGGUUAGUCGGUUCCUAAGGCGAGGCUGAAAAGCGUAGUCGAUGGGAAACAGGUUAAUAUUCCUGUACUUCUGGUUACUGCGAUGGAGGGACGGAGAAGGCUAGGCCAGCUUGGCGUUGGUUGUCCAAGUUUAAGGUGGUAGGCUGAAAUCUUAGGUAAAUCCGGGGUUUCAAGGCCGAGAGCUGAUGACGAGUCGUCUUUUAGAUGACGAAGUGGUUGAUGCCAUGCUUCCAAGAAAAGCUUCUAAGCUUCAGGUAACCAGGAACCGUACCCCAAACCGACACAGGUGGUCGGGUAGAGAAUACCAAGGCGCUUGAGAGAACUCGGGUGAAGGAACUAGGCAAAAUGGCACCGUAACUUCGGGAGAAGGUGCGCCGGCUAGGGUGAAGGAUUUACUCCGUAAGCUCUGGCUGGUCGAAGAUACCAGGCCGCUGCGACUGUUUAUUAAAAACACAGCACUCUGCAAACACGAAAGUGGACGUAUAGGGUGUGACGCCUGCCCGGUGCCGGAAGGUUAAUUGAUGGGGUUAGCGCAAGCGAAGCUCUUGAUCGAAGCCCCGGUAAACGGCGGCCGUAACUAUAACGGUCCUAAGGUAGCGAAAUUCCUUGUCGGGUAAGUUCCGACCUGCACGAAUGGCGUAACGAUGGCGGCGCUGUCUCCACCCGAGACUCAGUGAAAUUGAAAUCGCUGUGAAGAUGCAGUGUAUCCGCGGCUAGACGGAAAGACCCCGUGAACCUUUACUGUAGCUUUGCACUGGACUUUGAGCCUGCUUGUGUAGGAUAGGUGGGAGGCUUUGAAGCGUGGACGCCAGUUCGCGUGGAGCCAUCCUUGAAAUACCACCCUGGCAUGCUUGAGGUUCUAACUCUGGUCCGUAAUCCGGAUCGAGGACAGUGUAUGGUGGGCAGUUUGACUGGGGCGGUCUCCUCCUAAAGAGUAACGGAGGAGUACGAAGGUGCGCUCAGACCGGUCGGAAAUCGGUCGCAGAGUAUAAAGGCAAAAGCGCGCUUGACUGCGAGACAGACACGUCGAGCAGGUACGAAAGUAGGUCUUAGUGAUCCGGUGGUUCUGUAUGGAAGGGCCAUCGCUCAACGGAUAAAAGGUACUCCGGGGAUAACAGGCUGAUACCGCCCAAGAGUUCAUAUCGACGGCGGUGUUUGGCACCUCGAUGUCGGCUCAUCACAUCCUGGGGCUGAAGCCGGUCCCAAGGGUAUGGCUGUUCGCCAUUUAAAGUGGUACGCGAGCUGGGUUUAGAACGUCGUGAGACAGUUCGGUCCCUAUCUGCCGUGGACGUUUGAGAUUUGAGAGGGGCUGCUCCUAGUACGAGAGGACCGGAGUGGACGAACCUCUGGUGUUCCGGUUGUCACGCCAGUGGCAUUGCCGGGUAGCUAUGUUCGGAAAAGAUAACCGCUGAAAGCAUCUAAGCGGGAAACUUGCCUCAAGAUGAGAUCUCACUGGGAACUUGAUUCCCCUGAAGGGCCGUCGAAGACUACGACGUUGAUAGGCUGGGUGUGUAAGCGUUGU